AGACGCCCAUUGGAGGACAGGGGCAGUAGGCGCGCCGGCUCGAAGGGCACGGCCAGGGCCUCGCCGCCGCCGCAGUAGGAGAGGCGCGGGGGCUCGGAGCCAGCGGCCAGCAGGAAAAGCUGUAGAGAGGCAGACCGUGGCCCUUGAGUCCCAGGGGGAAUCCCGACAGAGCCGGCCCCAGGGAGAGAAGGCCUGGGCGGGCCUGAGCCCGGGCCAGUGUCCGCUUUCUUUGCUCGUCUGUGCACACCGUGUGCAGGGAGGCGCGUGGAAGAAACCCGGCACCAGGCCCCGCCUCUCACGGGAGCCUCCCUCAGGCCCCGGCCCCGCCCACCUGGCCCUGAUGAUCCACGUAGUAAAAGUACUCGCGCGUCCGCGGCUCUGGGC
Molecule: long non-coding RNA, 384 nt
Organism: Aethalodelphis obliquidens (Pacific white-sided dolphin)
Lineage: Eukaryota; Metazoa; Chordata; Mammalia; Artiodactyla; Delphinidae
Exons: 3
Source: RefSeq, a predicted model, not a curated record